Long non-coding RNA from Poecilia latipinna (sailfin molly), 103 nucleotides. RefSeq lists it as uncharacterized. The record is from RefSeq and is a predicted model, not a curated record. The transcript has 3 exons. Lineage: Eukaryota; Metazoa; Chordata; Actinopteri; Cyprinodontiformes; Poeciliidae.
AAAUUGUAAAAAAUACAUUUCUAUCGACAACAAUGUUCAGCAGCUGCCAUGUGAUCACCUCUGACACAGACAGGCCCAUCCUCAGCAGCUCUUCAGCCAGCUC